AGCAGGUAAUAGGAGCAGUGACACUUGGGAAGGAGGCAUCUCCAGGACAGAAUCCAAGGCUCAAUGAUAACAUUUGUGGGCAACUGCAUUUUGCAAUGGUCAGUUUCCUAACAAACAACAAAUGCUAUCUGAAGACAGGAAGGAGAAAGGUCUCCUGGAAUUUAUUUCAUCAGUCCUUAAUUUGCCCUUCAAACAACAAAAGAAGAGACAUGCUGCUAUUUGGAAGCUGACUGAUUAUGAACCAGGGACUUUGAUCCCUACUUUUCCUGAAGACACACCAGUAAGCAAAGCCAAAA
Molecule: long non-coding RNA, 296 nt
Organism: Vidua macroura (Pin-tailed whydah)
Lineage: Eukaryota; Metazoa; Chordata; Aves; Passeriformes; Viduidae
Exons: 3
Source: RefSeq, a predicted model, not a curated record